CGCGUAGGCGGCUCGGUAAGUCUGGAGUGAAAGUCCUGCUUUUAAGGUGGGAAUUGCUUUGGAUACUGUCGGGCUUGAGUGCAGGAGAGGUUAGUGGAAUUCCCAGUGUAGCGGUGAAAUGCGUAGAGAUUGGGAGGAACACCAGUAGCGAAGGCGACUAACUGGACUGUAACUGACGCUGAGGCGCGAAAGUGUGGGGAGCAAACA
RNAcentral lists this ribosomal RNA (207 nucleotides) under uncultured bacterium. Its description in RNAcentral is "partial 16S ribosomal RNA". It matches the Rfam family "Bacterial small subunit ribosomal RNA", at positions 568 to 774 of the family's 1533-position model. The record is from RNAcentral.